This 278-nucleotide ribosomal RNA is filed under the name Clostridioides difficile. RNAcentral's name for it is "partial 23S ribosomal RNA". It matches the Rfam family "Bacterial large subunit ribosomal RNA", at positions 511 to 789 of the family's 2925-position model. The record is from RNAcentral. Lineage: Bacteria; Bacillati; Bacillota; Clostridia; Peptostreptococcales; Peptostreptococcaceae.
AAGGUGAAAAGAACCCCGGGAGGGGAGUGAAAUAGAACCUGAAACCCUGCACUUACAAGCUGUGGAAGCACAUUUCUUGUGUGACCGCGUACUUUUUGUAGAACGGGCCAACGAGUUACGUUAAGUAGCAAGGUUAAGCCCUUAAGGUGCGGAGCCGUAGCGAAAGCGAGUUUUAACUGAGCGUUCAGUUACUUGACGUAGACCCGAAACCGGGCGACCUACCCAUGAGCAGGAUGAAGCGAAAGUAAAAUUUCGUGGAGGUCCGAACCCACGAGCGU